This is a long non-coding RNA of Prunus persica (peach), 894 nucleotides long. RefSeq lists it as uncharacterized. Lineage: Eukaryota; Viridiplantae; Streptophyta; Magnoliopsida; Rosales; Rosaceae. The transcript has 7 exons. The record is from RefSeq and is a predicted model, not a curated record.
UUUUUUUUUUUUUGGCCAGGGAGAGGGAAAGAGGGAGAGUUAUGAGACUUUGUACUGUCUCAAUUCAGCAAUUGGUUUAUUGUCAACAAUUUCCUCUUUCGUGACUUUUUGAAGGAUAACUUAUUAUGGAAUGCAGGAAAACUUUUAUGUCAAGGAUAGAUGAAAGUCUUUGAAACUAGGAUUUAGUUGUGGGAUACAUGGGCGUGCCAAAAUAUUCUGGAAUCAGCAUGACUCAACAUCCACAGUAUGUUACAGUAAGAAAUGAACGUGGAAGAGAGAUGCUCAGUCUGGUUGAUAAUCUUUUGGAGGUUACUCCAACAACUAGCAGUGAAAGGGUCCUGAACCUGCCCCAAAGUUUGUUGGCAAUGUGAUUGCUUUCUUGCUAAACUUGAUUGGCCCAAAGGGUCUGGAAUUUUCUCGUUAUUCACUCGAUUACCAUACCAUCAGGAACUACCUGUAUGUAAACCGAAUAUGGGGAAAACAAAGAGCUGAUCAGCAUAUGCCUUCAUAUGCAAAGAAGAUUGUGGAUACCUACAAUAAGAAUGGUGAAAUCGAUCGGAUUCUUUCCAACAAGUGACUGCAUUAGCUGGUGAAAUGCAGAUGAUAAAGAGGGCACUUCAAGGUAAUUGAUUCCAAGCCAAGAAUUCUACUGUUGAAGUCAAAUUGAUGAUGGAAAGCUUCUGCUCAACCGAGGAGAAAAGUCAAGAUCAGAUAAAAUAAUGAAGUCAAGAAAAUUGGCUGAGACUAAAUUUUGGAAAAACAAACAGUUUAAUGUACAGUUUGUCUUGGAGGUUUAGGGUUUUGGGUUUAGGGAAUUAUUAGACUUGUUAUUUUUCACGUCGUUAUAUACUCAUUUAUUUAUUUCUAAACCUCAAAGCUCAUUUUAAGCAAAAA